This 433-nucleotide ribosomal RNA is filed under the name uncultured bacterium. RNAcentral's name for it is "partial 16S ribosomal RNA". It matches the Rfam family "Bacterial small subunit ribosomal RNA", at positions 29 to 507 of the family's 1533-position model. The record is from RNAcentral.
AGCGAACGCUGGCGGCAGGCCUAACACAUGCAAGUCGAACGGAUCCUUCGGGAUUAGUGGCGGACGGGUGAGUAACACGUGGGAACGUGCCCUUUGGUUCGGAACAACUCAGGGAAACUUGAGCUAAUACCGGAUGUGCCCUUCGGGGGAAAGAUUUAUCGCCAUUGGAGCGGCCCGCGUCUGAUUAGCUAGUUGGUGAGGUAACGGCCCACCAAGGCGACGAUCAGUAGCUGGUCUGAGAGGAUGAUCAGCCACACUGGGACUGAGACACGGCCCAGACUCCUACGGGAGGCAGCAGUGGGGAAUCUUGCGCAAUGGGCGAAAGCCUGACGCAGCCACGCCGCGUGAAUGAUGAAGGUCUUAGGAUUGUAAAAUUCUUUCAGCGGGGACGAUAAUGACGGUACCCGCAGAAGAAGCUCCGGCUAACUUCGUG